UACGGAGGGUGCAAGCGUUAAUCGGAAUUACUGGGCGUAAAGCGCACGCAGGCGGUUUGUUAAGUCAGAUGUGAAAUCCCCGGGCUUAACCUGGGAGCUGCAUUUGAUACGUGUAGACUAGAGUGUGAGAGAGGGUUGUGGAAUUCCCAGUGUAGAGGUGAAAUUCGUAGAUAUUGGGAAGAACACCGGUGGCGAAGGCGGCCCCCUGGACGAAGACUGACGCUCAGGUGCGAAAGCGUGGGGAGCAAACAGG
Molecule: ribosomal RNA, 253 nt
Filed under: uncultured bacterium
Lineage: Bacteria
Description: partial 16S ribosomal RNA
Rfam family: Bacterial small subunit ribosomal RNA
Source: RNAcentral